GAUGAACGCUGGCGGCGUGCUUAACACAUGCAAGUCGAACGAUGAAGCCCAGCUUGCUGGGUGGUUUAGUGGCGAACGGGUGAGUAACACGCGAGUAACCUGCCCUUGACUCUGGGAUAAGCCCGGGAAACUGGGCCUAAUACCGGACAGGGGCGCCUGUCGCACGACGGGUGCUGGAGAGAUUUUUCGGUUUUGGAUGGACUCGCGGCCUAUCAGCUUGUAGGUGAGGUAAUGGCACACCAAGGCGUCGACGGGUAGCCGGCCUGGGAGGGGGACCGGCCACCCUGGGCCUGAGGCACGGCCCAGACUCCUACGGGAGGCAGCAGUGGGGAAUAUUGCGCAAUGGGCGGAAGCCUGAUGCAGCGACGCCGCGUGCGGGAUGACGGCCUUCGGGUUGUAAACCUCUUUCAGUAGGGAAGAAGCGAAAGUGACGGUACCUGCAGAAGAAGCACCGGCUAACUACGUG
Molecule: ribosomal RNA, 466 nt
Filed under: uncultured bacterium
Lineage: Bacteria
Description: partial 16S ribosomal RNA
Rfam family: Bacterial small subunit ribosomal RNA
Source: RNAcentral